RNAcentral lists this ribosomal RNA (253 nucleotides) under uncultured bacterium. RNAcentral's name for it is "partial 16S ribosomal RNA". It matches the Rfam family "Bacterial small subunit ribosomal RNA", at positions 524 to 776 of the family's 1533-position model. The record is from RNAcentral.
CACGUAGGCCGCGAGCGUUGUCCGGAAUUAUUGGGCGUAAAGAGCUCGUAGGCGGCCUGUUGCGUCCGCUGUGAAAGCCCGGGGCUUAACCCCGGGUCUGCAGUGGAUACGGGCAGGCUAGAGGUAGGUAGGGGAGAUCGGAAUUCCUGGUGUAGCGGUGAAAUGCGCAGAUAUCAGGAGGAACACCGGUGGCGAAGGCGGAUCUCUGGGCCGAUACUGACGCUGAGGAGCGAAAGCGUGGGGAGCAAACAGG